This is a non-coding RNA of Pelobates cultripes (western spadefoot toad), 222 nucleotides long. Lineage: Eukaryota; Metazoa; Chordata; Amphibia; Anura; Pelobatidae. The record is from the annotation of a GenBank genome assembly.
CCAUAUUUUUACAUCUGAUUUGGGUGCUUUCAUAUUUGUCAAAUGUCAAAACCAUUACCCAAAAAAGUUAGGAAUCCACCAAUGGCGACCAACUAAUUUGCGACUUCUAAAGGCCUUUGAUGUAGGGUAGACAAACACUGGGCACAAAAUACACAGGAACUGGCAUAUUGUAGAUCACAAAGGCAACAUUUUUGAAUCCAAGUGCUCUAUUUUCUAUAGAUA